Molecule: long non-coding RNA, 400 nt
Filed under: Actinidia chinensis (golden kiwifruit)
Lineage: Eukaryota; Viridiplantae; Streptophyta; Magnoliopsida; Ericales; Actinidiaceae
Description: long non-coding RNA (ACHI_LNC001403)
Source: RNAcentral
UGUUAUGCAAUUCUAUGAUGGGUAUUGUCGAUGAGAGAUUUUGGUGGGUUGUUGUUGAAAAGGGUUUCUCUUUUGUGCUUUUUCUUUGGCAGAUUAUUUCUUAAUAUUCCUUUAAUCUAUUUACUCCAUUUUCAUGGGUUUUUAUUCCAAAAACCUAACAAGUUCUUUAUUUUUUUUGUUUGGCUCUCAUUGAUUUGAAUCUUGAUGUUAUGAUUUUUGUUUUCUUUUUAGGUUCUCAUGUCUGUCUUAUAGUUAUUGCAAACCUCUCACAAAAGAUCCGGAAUUCCCUUAAUAAGGUGAGCUUUCUUUCUUCUUCUUUUUUUUCACUGCAUGAUGACCUAAUUUGGUUUUCAUUUUCAUUUUUGUGGUGGAUAUUGUAGGCUAUCUCACUCUCUUUAAC